AUGCGUGCGACGGCGGCGGCGGAGGCACUCCUCCCUCUCGCGGGUCAUAGGGCGACGUGGGGCGCCCUGGCUCGAGGGUGUGACCUCGAUCUGGACUGCGGCGGCGCCGAUCUGGUUCAUGACGGCCCAGAUCUAGACUACGGCGGUGUGGCGGCCGUCCGGCGUCAUAAUGGCGGUUCUGGUGGCAGUGUUGGCGACGGUGACGGCUGUGGCACGGUGGCGUUGGAGGCGGCGCGGGUUGUGGGCGCGGCAGUCUGGCCUGUUCGGGCGGCGGCGGCGUUGUGGUCAGCAGCGGCGGUGCCCCAUCUGCCUUUGGAUCAGCGGCGGUGGCGUGCAGGGCCUUGUGGUCGCGUCGGCGGCACCUCCGGUUAG
Molecule: ribosomal RNA, 372 nt
Filed under: Triticum aestivum (bread wheat)
Lineage: Eukaryota; Viridiplantae; Streptophyta; Magnoliopsida; Poales; Poaceae
Description: partial small subunit ribosomal RNA
Source: RNAcentral